AGAGCCCAGCGCAUAAUCUCGUCGUCCCAAGGGCGCGAGAGGUGUUGCGUUUCGGAGAGAUCUAGCACCCGGUCCCGGGCCGCCUAAGUCGAACGAAUGAAGAAGGCUAUUCCCACUGUGUGCCCACGGAGGGUGAUAGGCCCGUGUGGCGGUUAGUUGUCGCGAGGCAACUCGUCGGGGCCGGGGAAAGGAUCUCUCCGUAGAGUCGGGUUGCUUGAGAGUGCAACCCAAAGAGGUGGUAAACUCCAUCUAAGGCUAAAUAUGACCACGAGACCGAUAGCGAACAAGUACCGUGAGGGAAAGUUGAAAAGGACUUUGAAUAGAGAGUUCAAUAGAUCGUGAAACCGUUAUGAGCCUAAACGGAUGGAACCUUGUAGAUCGAACUGGGAGUAUCUGCCAGCGGGGUGCCUUCCCAUAGAGUUGGGUCGCGUGCCUCAUGUAAACUACUCGAGGGCUUGGUACCCAAGCACGUGGGCAGAGUUCUUCUGCCGUGCUCGUGGGGACUGCCUGAGGUGCGUGUUACCUGUCGAAAUGCUAUGCUCCCGUAGUAGAUCACCGCGACCCGUUGGCGCCCGGUGAAAAGACCCGCUCGGAUCGGUAGCGACUCUGGGUUCCCCUCCUCCCUUCCCUCGGGUCGGGUUCAGGGGUCCCGGUCGUGAAGCCGGCGGUGUUCCGAUCGGGCGCCGACGGUCGGUAGAGUGAGAUGGGCGGCGAAUAAGUGAGUGGUAUCCCCACUCGAGUUUUCGCAACAGUGCUGAUAUCUCAUCGCGGUGUGCAAACAGUGUCAGGAACCAUCCGACCCGUCUUGAAACA
This 813-nucleotide ribosomal RNA is filed under the name Allogalathea elegans. RNAcentral's name for it is "partial 28S ribosomal RNA". It matches the Rfam family "Eukaryotic large subunit ribosomal RNA", at positions 104 to 661 of the family's 3401-position model. Lineage: Eukaryota; Metazoa; Arthropoda; Malacostraca; Decapoda; Galatheidae. The record is from RNAcentral.